Molecule: ribosomal RNA, 510 nt
Filed under: uncultured bacterium
Lineage: Bacteria
Description: partial 16S ribosomal RNA
Source: RNAcentral
GGAGUUAGCCGGUGCUUCUUCUGUGAGUGAUGUCCUUCCUGCCGGCUAUUAACCCGCAGGCCUUCUUCCUCACUGAAAGUGCUUUACAACCCGAAGGCCUUCUUCACACACGCGGCAUGGCUGGAUCAGGGUUGCCCCCAUUGUCCAAUAUUCCCCACUGCUGCCUCCCGUAGGAGUCUGGGCCGUGUCUCAGUCCCAGUGUGGCUGAUCAUCCUCUCAGACCAGCUACGGAUCGUCGCCUUGGUGAGCCGUUACCUCACCAACCAGCUAAUCCGACAUAGGCUCAUCCGAUAGCGCGAGGCCCGAAGGUCCCCCGCUUUCCCCCGUAGGGCGUAUGCGGUAUUAGCCUGGGUUUCCCCCAGGUUAUCCCCCGACUACCGGGCAGAUUCCUAUGCAUUACUCACCCGUCCGCCGCUCGCCACCAGGGAGCAAGCUCCCCGUGCUGCCGCUCGACUUGCAUGUGUUAGGCCUGCCGCCAGCGUUCAAUCUGAGCCAUAAUACAAACUCUGA